AACGAACGCUGGCGGCAUGCCUAACACAUGCAAGUCGAACGAGACCUUCGGGUCUAGUGGCGCACGGGUGCGUAACGGGUGGGAACCUGCCCUUAGGUUCGGAAUAACUACCCGAAAGGGGGGAUAAUACCGGAUAAUUUCUUAGGACCAAAGAUUUAUCGCCUUUGGAUGGGCCCUCGUUGGAUUAGCUAGUUGGUAGGGUAAAAGCCUACCACGGCGACGAUCCAUAGCUGGUCUGAGAGGAUGAUCAGCCACACUGGGACUUAGACACGGCCCAGACUCCUACGGGAGGCAGCAGUGGGGAAUAUUGGACAAUGGGCGAAAGCCUGAUCCAGCAAUGCCGCGUGAGUGAUGAAGGCCUUAGGGUUGUAAAGCUCUUUUAACCGGGAUGAUAAUGACAGUACCGGGAGAAUAAGCUCCGGCUAACUCCGUG
This 433-nucleotide ribosomal RNA is filed under the name uncultured bacterium. Its description in RNAcentral is "partial 16S ribosomal RNA". It matches the Rfam family "Bacterial small subunit ribosomal RNA", at positions 29 to 507 of the family's 1533-position model. The record is from RNAcentral.